UUUCUCAGGCUUGUAGAAGAGUGGAAUUCUGGAAACCAGUCUUUGCCUCAGGGGAGCAUCUGUUGGAAGUUCUUAGGGAUGCUCAGGCAUAUGGCCUCAGAAACAUGGGCUAUUGAGACAGAGAAAAAGACAACUCUGGAAGGAGAGAGCCUGGACUUACAGAAGACAUCUGAACUAUUAAUCAACAGAAAUCUCACGUAUAGUUGAAGGGCUCCCUUUAGAGUUUCUUGUAGGGUAGGUCUACCAGCUGCACAUGUCAGGACAAGGAGGU
RNAcentral lists this non-coding RNA (271 nucleotides) under Pan troglodytes (chimpanzee). The record is from RNAcentral. Lineage: Eukaryota; Metazoa; Chordata; Mammalia; Primates; Hominidae.